RNAcentral lists this unclassified non-coding RNA (354 nucleotides) under soil metagenome. RNAcentral describes it as "partial contains 5.8S ribosomal RNA, internal transcribed spacer 2, and large subunit ribosomal RNA". The stretch from base 1 to 120 matches the Rfam family "5.8S ribosomal RNA", at positions 35 to 154 of the family's 154-position model. The record is from RNAcentral.
GAUGAAGAACGCAGCGAAAUGCGAUAAGUAGUGUGAAUUGCAGAAUUCAGUGAAUCAUCGAAUCUUUGAACGCACAUUGCGCCUCCUGGUAUUCCGGGAGGCAUGCCUGUUCGAGCGUCAUUAAAAUCACUCAAGCUUAGGUUUACCUACUGCUUGGUCUUGGAGAUGGAAGCCAAUUUAUUGGAAUCCUCUUCGAAAUUCAAUGGCGAAGACCCUUGCUCUCCCAAGUGUAGUAAUAACUUAUGUCACUGAAGGAAGCGAGAAAUCUUCUGCCGUAACCCCCAUAUUUUCUAUGAUUGACCUCGGAUCAGGUAGGGAUACCCGCUGAACUUAAGCAUAUCAAUAAGCGGAGGA